UGAAUACGAGACGCUACGGCGUCGAAGCAGUCUAUGUCAUACUUCCAAGAAAAGCUUGCACUGUCAUAAACAAAUAAUGCCUGUACCAUAACCGACACAGGUGGGUAGGUAGAGUAUACUAAGGGGCGCGAGAUAACUCUCUCUAAGGAACUCGGCAAAAUGACUCCGUAACUUCGGGAGAAGGAGUGCCUUAUUUAUAAGGUUGCAAUAACAAGAUCCAAGCAACUGUUUAUCAAAAACACAGGUCUCCGCUAAGUCGUAAGACGAUGUAUGGGGGCUGACGCCUGCCCAGUGCCAGAAGGUUAAAGAAGUUGGUUAGUGUAUGCGAAGCUGAUGACUGAAGCCCUGGUGAACGGCGGCCGUAACAAUAACGGUCCUAAGGUAGCGAAAUUCCUUGUCGGGUAAGUUCCGACCCGCACGAAAGGCGUAAUGAUUUGGAUACUGUCUCGGAGAGAGGCUCGGUGAAAUAGACUUGUCUGUGAAGAUGCGGACUACCUGCACCAGGACAGAAAGACCCUAUGAAGCUUUACUGUAACUUGAAAUUGGAAUUGGACUUUGCUUGCGCAGUAUAGGUGGGAAGCGUUGAAGAUAUUCUUGCGGGAGUAUUGGAGCUAUCAGUGAGAUACCACUCUUGUAAUGUUAGAUUUCUAACUUUGAACCAUAAUCUGGUCAAAGAACAGUUUCAGGUGGGCAGUUUGACUGGGGCGGUCGCCUCCCAAAUGGUAACGGAGGCGUACAAAGGUUUCCUCUGAACGGAUAGAAAUCGUAUCUAGAGUGUAAAGGCAUAAGGAAGCUUGACUGUGAGACCUACAAGUCGAGCAGGGACGAAAGUCGGUCUUAGUGAUCUGACGGUACUGAGUGGAAAGGCCGUCACUCAACGGAUAAAAGUUACUCUAGGGAUAACAGGCUGAUCUCCCCCAAGAGUUCACAUCGACGGGGAGGUUUGGCACCUCGAUGUCGGCUCAUCGCAUCCUGGGGCGGUAGUACGUCCCAAGGGUUGGGCUGUUCGCCCAUGAAAGCGGUACGCGAGCUGGGUUCAGAACGUCGUGAGACAGUUCGGUCCAUAUCCGGUGUAGGCGUUAGAAUAUUGAGAGGAGCCUUCUUUAGUACGAGAGGACCGAGAAGGACACACCGCUGGUGUACCAGUUAUCGUGCCAACGGUAAACGCUGGGUAGCUAUGUGUGGAGUGGAUAACCGCUGAAAGCAUCUAAGUGGGAAGCCCACCUCAAGAUGAGUAUUCUCAC
RNAcentral lists this ribosomal RNA (1244 nucleotides) under metagenome. RNAcentral's name for it is "bacterial LSU rRNA". It matches the Rfam family "Bacterial large subunit ribosomal RNA", at positions 1564 to 2817 of the family's 2925-position model. The record is from RNAcentral.